RNAcentral lists this ribosomal RNA (286 nucleotides) under uncultured Bacteroidota bacterium. Its description in RNAcentral is "uncultured Bacteroidetes bacterium partial 16S ribosomal RNA". It matches the Rfam family "Bacterial small subunit ribosomal RNA", at positions 28 to 310 of the family's 1533-position model. The record is from RNAcentral. Lineage: Bacteria; Pseudomonadati; Bacteroidota.
GAUGAACGCUAGCGGCAGGCCUAACACAUGCAAGUCGAGGGGCAACACGGGUAGCAAUACUUGGUGGCGACCGGCGCAAGGGUGAGUAACGCGUAUGCAACCUACCUUAUACAGGGGGAUAGCUCAGGGAAACCUGAAUUAAUACCGCAUAAAGCAGGGGUACCGCAUGGUACUAUUUGCUAAAGAUUUAUUGGUAUAAGAUGGGCAUGCGUGCCAUUAGCUAGUUGGUAGGGUAACGGCCUACCAAGGCUACGAUGGCUAGGGGGUCUGAGAGGAUGAUCCCCCA